Anoplopoma fimbria (sablefish) is the source of this 758-nucleotide long non-coding RNA. RefSeq lists it as uncharacterized. Lineage: Eukaryota; Metazoa; Chordata; Actinopteri; Perciformes; Anoplopomatidae. The record is from RefSeq and is a predicted model, not a curated record. The transcript has 3 exons.
GCUGGAGGUUGGGACAGCAGCUGACUCAGUUACACAGCAGCCACACCUGACAGGUAAUAGUCCAAAGGGUUUGGACAGACUCUCCGAUGUUAACUUUGCCUCCACCUGGACGCCAUGCAUGGAUCCAGGUAGUUUAAACGACCUGUGUACGUUACCUGUCGGACCAGACACCUGUGGAGCCUGCAGUGUGCGGACCGCUAGUUGCAGACAGAAGAUCAUCGAAACCUUCGCUUGCAGCUCUGUUUUUCUAAAGACCUGCCAAAAAGUCCACCACCAACAACAUCGACAAGUUGACUUUGGAAUAGUCUCUGCUCUGCACCAUGGGAUGCUUGAAUCCUGUCCCUGCAUUAACUAAAGUUGGCCUUGUGUGAAUCAUGCUGAGACCCCUUUUUAGUUAACCCUCCCCAGUUCCCCUACCUUGUGGAUUCAUGUUCACUGCCACCAUAUUCCCGCUAUGGAUUCUCAAAGACUUGCCCCUCCGUUGGAUCCAGGUCUCGGACACGGUCACCACCACUUUGGAUUAGAAGCUCUGAUAGAGCGUCCAACCUGGAGAAUAGUUUGACUCUGCCUUUCUAGCACUAUAUUUUCACUCCCUGUUUCGCUCUUCCCUUUGAUGGAUCAUUGGCCAAGUUACAAACAGUUGAUAUGGAUGCGAGGACUGACAGUUGGUUACAAUCCACAGCUUGGAUGAUAAUAUUUUGGACAUCUUUUUCCCUCCUUUUUCCCAUGGCACGAUAAGCGUUGUUAUCAUCUGAAAG